GAAGUCUCUGACAACGAAGGUCUAGCAAACUACGUUGUCCCCGAGUCAUGCGCAGUAUGUCGCGAGAGAUGAGGCGAAGCGUCGACACGGUUACGUGCGGGCCAGCCAUUGAGGCGCGAUAGUUUAUAUAUCCCGAGUGCCGACGCCGUUGACACUGCGGAAGGCAAAACGACGGGGCGCGACAUUGCAAUUACCCCGUCGGCUUGGCGUGGUCGAAGACCC
This 222-nucleotide non-coding RNA is filed under the name Burkholderia sp. D7. Lineage: Bacteria; Pseudomonadati; Pseudomonadota; Betaproteobacteria; Burkholderiales; Burkholderiaceae. The record is from RNAcentral.